Molecule: non-coding RNA, 74 nt
Organism: Podarcis lilfordi (Lilford's wall lizard)
Lineage: Eukaryota; Metazoa; Chordata; Lepidosauria; Squamata; Lacertidae
Source: the annotation of a GenBank genome assembly
GGGAAGGGCUGUAGCUAGGUAGAGCAUCUGCCUUGCAUGCAGAAGAACCCAGGCUCACUCCCUGGCAUCUCCCU